This 491-nucleotide ribosomal RNA is filed under the name uncultured bacterium. RNAcentral's name for it is "partial 16S ribosomal RNA". It matches the Rfam family "Bacterial small subunit ribosomal RNA", at positions 29 to 507 of the family's 1533-position model. The record is from RNAcentral.
AGUGAACGCUGGCGGUAGGCCUAACACAUGCAAGUCGAACGGCAGCACAGUAAGAGCUUGCUCUUACGGGUGGCGAGUGGCGGACGGGUGAGGAAUACAUCGGAAUCUACUUUUUCGUGGGGAUAACGUAGGUAAACUUACGCUAAUACCGCAUACGACCUACGGGUGAAAGCAGGGGAUCUUCGGACCUUGCGCGAUUGAAUGAGCCGAUGUCGGAUUAGCUAGUUGGCGGGGUAAAGGCCCACCAAGGCGACGAUCCGUAGCUGGUCUGAGAGGAUGAUCAGCCACACUGGAACUGAGACACGGUCCAGACUCCUACGGGAGGCAGCAGUGGGGAAUAUUGGACAAUGGGCGCAAGCCUGAUCCAGCCAUACCGCGUGGGUGAAGAAGGCCUUCGGGUUGUAAAGCCCUUUUGUUGGGAAAGAAAAGCAGCAGGUUAAUACCCCGCUGUUCUGACGGUACCCAAAGAAUAAGCACCGGCUAACUUCGUG